AGUAGUUUGAUCAUGGCUCAGAAUCAACGCUGGCGGCGUGCCUCAGACAUGCAAGUCGAACGAUUAAAGCUCUCUUCGGAGAGUGUAUAGAGUGGCGCACGGGUGAGUAACACGUAAGUAAUCUACCCUCGAGUGGGAAUAACAACCGGAAACGGUUGCUAAUACCGCAUAAUGCAGCGGCACCGCAAGGUGACAGUUGUUAAAGAUUUAUCGCUUGAGGAGGAGCUUGCGGCAGAUUAGCUAGUUGGUAGGGUAACGGCUUACCAAGGCUACGAUCUGUAACCGGUCUAAGAGGACGGUCGGUCACACUGACACUGAAUAACGGGUCAGACUCCUACGGGAGGCAGCAGUCGGGAAUUUUGGGCAAUGGGCGAAAGCCUGACCCAGCAACGCCGCGUGAAGGAUGAAGUAUUUCGGUAUGUAAACUUCGAAAGAAUAGGAAGAAUUAAUGACGGUACUAUUUAUAAGGUCCGGCUAACUACGUG
RNAcentral lists this ribosomal RNA (485 nucleotides) under uncultured bacterium. Its description in RNAcentral is "bacterial SSU rRNA". It matches the Rfam family "Bacterial small subunit ribosomal RNA", at positions 1 to 507 of the family's 1533-position model. The record is from RNAcentral.